AAGAAGGCCUAUUGGGUUGUAAACUGCUUUUAUCUGGGAAGAAAAGGCCCAUGCGUGGGACAUUGCCGGUACCAGAUGAAUAAGCACCGGCUAACUCCGUGCCAGCAGCCGCGGUAAUACAGAGGGUGCAAGCGUUGUCCGGAUUUAUUGGGUUUAAAGGGUGCGUAGGCGGCUAUUUAAGUCAGCGGUGAAAGACUCCGGCUCAACCGGAGCAGUGCCAUUGAUACUGGAUAGCUUGAGUGUUGGAGGGGUACAUGGAAUUGAUGGUGUAGCGGUGAAAUGCAUAGAUACCAUCAGGAACACCGAUAGCGAAGGCAUUGUACUGGCCAACAACUGACGCUGAGGCACGAAAGCAUGGGGAGCGAACAGGAUUAGAUACCCUGGUAGUCCAUGCCGUAAACGAUGAUUACUCGCUGUUAUGCUGUACAGUGUAGCGGCCAAGCGAAAGCGUUAAGUAAUCCACCUGGGGAGUACGCCGGCAACGGUG
Molecule: ribosomal RNA, 487 nt
Filed under: uncultured Bacteroidota bacterium
Lineage: Bacteria; Pseudomonadati; Bacteroidota
Description: bacterial SSU rRNA
Rfam family: Bacterial small subunit ribosomal RNA
Source: RNAcentral